CCUACGGGCGGCUGCAGUGGGGGAUAUUGCACAAUGGGGGAAACCCUGAUGCAGCGACGCCGCGUGUGGGAAGACGGUCUUCUGGAUUGUAAACCACUGUCCCCAGGGACGAAAAUGACGGUACCUGGGGAGGAAGCUCCGGCUAACUACGUGCCAGCAGCCGCGGUAAUACGUAGGGAGCAAGCGUUGUCCGGAAUUACUGGGUGUAAAGGGAGCGUAGGCGGGGAUGCAAGUUGGGUGUCAAAACUACCGGCUCAACCGAGAGUCGCACUCAAAACUGCAGCUCUUGAGUGAAGUAGAGGCAGGCGGAAUUCCUAGUGUAGCGGUGAAAUGCGUAGAUAUUAGGAGGAACACCAGUGGCGAAGGCGGCCUGCUGGGCUUUUACUGACGCUGAGGCUCGAAAGUGUGGGGAGCAAACAGGAUUAGAUACCCGGGUAGUC
Molecule: ribosomal RNA, 440 nt
Filed under: uncultured bacterium
Lineage: Bacteria
Description: partial 16S ribosomal RNA
Rfam family: Bacterial small subunit ribosomal RNA
Source: RNAcentral